GUCUGCGGCCACAGCUCCCAGCAUCUCCACCAUGACCGAGACUGGUGCGCGUGAGCGCGUGUGUGCGCGCGUGUGCACGUGAGCGUGUGCGAGCGUGAUGGGGAUUAUCGUCAGUGUGCAGCGGAGGACGGAUCCACAGCACAGCCCCCACCUUCAUCCCUCCAUCACCUCUGCAGGAGCCGCUGAAACCUGUGAGACUCUUCCUGGUUCGAUUCCUUUCGCGUUUUCAUCAUGGGUGCUGCAUUGUGUGUCUGUGUGCGUGCGCACGUAUAUGUGUCGCGUAUGUGUAUGUAGGCCAUUAGGACUAUUAUUAACAUAGGUGUGUAUGUGCAUGUGCAGCCUGUGUAGUGUGCAAACAAGCUUGUGUGUGAUGUGUUUCACGUGUAUGUCCACAUACGUGAUGUGGCUGCGUGAGCUGCCAUGUGUGUGAAUCAUGUGUGUGUGUGUGUGUUGUCGAUGGCAGAUAGCAUGACUGUAAAAUUGGCCGAUUAAAAACGGAGUCCAGCUCCUGUUAAAUGUGAAACAGGCGAAAGAACCGAUCACUGGGAAGUACACGCGCACACGGGAACACACACAACUUAAACGUGCACUGAGUGUGUGUCUGUGUGUGCUUGGAGGGGCUUCAUACACAACAUCCACACGUCGGCACCUCUUCGUGUUGAAUGUUUGCAUCCAGUCAACGUUCCCUCUCGGUUUUGGUCUCCACCGCCUCCUGAGACAAACGUGUGUGCCGCUGAGCUCUCCGCUGUGUCCGCCAGCUCGGGUCCGACCGCAUCGGCCUGCUGUUCGACCACCACUAGGUGGAGAAGGGUGGUGUUUAGUACGGCUUCUUGACGGACUCCGACGCAGCAGGAGCAGUGACGGUGAACCAGAACAGUCCGACAGAUAAACGCGGAGAUGAAACUCACUAUGAGGCUCCAUAAAUUCUGUGGAGGUUCAUCUCGUCCAACACAGAGCACAUGAUGAACUUGAUGCACUGAUUAUUAUGUUUGGGAAAACAGCAUUUAAAGCUCAUUGUGAAAAGAUGUAGAGAGUCAUGGUACUCAGAGUCAUUAAUAAAUGAAUGAGCUUAGUUGGAGAUAUAUAUUAAAAACUGUUUGGUGGAGGCGAGGCCUC
Long non-coding RNA from Gasterosteus aculeatus aculeatus (three-spined stickleback), 1116 nucleotides. The record is from Ensembl. Lineage: Eukaryota; Metazoa; Chordata; Actinopteri; Perciformes; Gasterosteidae.